CCUUUAGGAGGGGGACAACAAUGAGAAAUUAUUGCUAAUACCCCAUAUGCUUUCGAGUGAAAUGGAUUUUUCCGCCUAGAGAGAAGCUUGCGGCUGAUUAGCUUGUUGGUGAGGUAAUGGCUUACCAAGGCGACGAUCAGUAUCUGGUUUGAGAGGACGAUCAGACACACUGGAACUGAGACACGGUCCAGACUCCUGCGGGAGGCAGCAGUGGGGAAUUUUCCGCAAUGGGCGAAAGCCUGACGGAGCAAUCUCGCGUGAGGGAUGACUGCCUAUGGGUUGUAAACCUCUUUUUUCAGGGAGGAAUAAAUGACGUGUACCUGAAGAAUAAGCAUCGGCUAACUCCGUGCCAGCAGCCGCGGUAAUACGGGGGAUGCAAGUGUUAUCCGGAAUCACUGGGCGUAAAGCGUCUGUAGGUGGUUUAAUAAGUCAACUGUUAAAUCUUGAAGCUCAACUUCAAAAUCGCAGUCGAAACUAUUAGACUAGAGUAUAGUAGGGGUAAAGGGAAUUUCCAGUGGAGCGGUGAAAUGCGUAGAGAUUGGAAAGAACACGAUGGCGAAGGCACUUUACUGGGGCUAUUACUGACACUCAGAGACGAAAGCUAGGGGUAGCAAAUGGGGAUUAGAUACCCCAGUAGUCCUAGCUGUAAACAAUGGAUACUAGAUGUUGAACAGAUCGACCUGUGCAGUGUCAAAGCUAACGCGUUUAAGUAUCCCCGCCUGGGAAGUAUGCUCGCAAGAGUGAAACUCAAAGGAAUU
Molecule: ribosomal RNA, 758 nt
Filed under: uncultured bacterium
Lineage: Bacteria
Description: bacterial SSU rRNA
Rfam family: Bacterial small subunit ribosomal RNA
Source: RNAcentral